Xenopus tropicalis (tropical clawed frog) is the source of this 114-nucleotide non-coding RNA. The record is from Rfam. Lineage: Eukaryota; Metazoa; Chordata; Amphibia; Anura; Pipidae.
GUGGGAUACGGUGAUAUGCAUCCUGUCACCAUUGGGGGAAAGAUUGUGGGCUCUCUGUGUGCCAUUGCCGGGGUGUUAACAAUCGCCCUGCCGGUGCCUGUCAUCGUCUCUAAC